Triticum aestivum (bread wheat) is the source of this 935-nucleotide long non-coding RNA. RefSeq lists it as uncharacterized. Lineage: Eukaryota; Viridiplantae; Streptophyta; Magnoliopsida; Poales; Poaceae. The transcript is spliced from 3 exons. The record is from RefSeq and is a predicted model, not a curated record.
UCCAGAUGCAAAUCCGUAAGCACACCCAGAAAACUAUCCUCUCCUCCUUCCGUACUCAUCUCUCUCUACUUUCUCCGCCCCCAGAAGCAACUCAGACCCCCUCCCCUCCCCCCAAUUUCCCUUCUCUUCCCCGGCGACGUCCCCAAGCCCACCAACUCCGGCCAGAUCGACGGCCCCCUCGAGCUCCUCCACCCCUCCCGGUGCCCCCGCCCCCUCCCGGUGCCCCCGUACAGUUGCCCGCUCCGAACCCUAGCCAUUUCGCACCGCGAGCUUUGGAGACGUUUUUCAGAAAAGCCUCAAAUUGGAAGAGAUUCUGAGGCGAUUCUCCUAAUUGAUUGAGGGGUUUCUCAAAAAUCGCCUCCAAAUCAAUGGAUGUUUUGAGGCGAACCUCACCGCCUCUGGCAUGCAGGAAAAACAGGGAGAGUCCCAGUCGCUACAUCACAGAAGGGAGAGAAAUCUCCACGUCUGAAAUCGCCCAGAUUGGCCAAAAGCCAGACAAGGCGAACAUCAAAGCAUCCGGACCUGAAACUGAACAAGAAUAUCAUUGCCAUUCGUCCUGUUCUCCAUCAUGAAGAUUGGAGUCAUUGGACCUACAGAGUCAUUUUCAAGGGUUGAUGAAGCAGAGUGCUGCAAGAAAAAAACCAUAUGCCACAACUUUAUAACAUCAUCCUGAUACAUAUCAACAUAUUAGAAGUCUUUUUCGGAUUUUCAGAACUUCAGCAAGGUGCACUCUUCAGCUGUUUCAAUCUAAAGUGUUUGCAGAACAACUGUGUAGCGACAAGACCUCAAACAGUCUGAUCUCUGUGCUCCGGUGUCAUCUCUGGAUCAGUAAUGCUGACACCACACAGUACUCGGAGGAUUUAUAACAGAGUUGCAAUCACACACUUAUUAUAUCGAGUGUCUCAAGAGAGAACUUAUUACAAUAAAUAUGGCUU